Molecule: ribosomal RNA, 270 nt
Filed under: uncultured bacterium
Lineage: Bacteria
Description: partial 16S ribosomal RNA
Rfam family: Bacterial small subunit ribosomal RNA
Source: RNAcentral
CAUGGGCGAGAGCCUGAUCCAGCCAUGCCGCGUGCAGGAAGACUGCCCUAUGGGUUGUAAACUGCUUUUAUACAGGAAGAAACCUUUUCACGUGUGAGAAGCUGACGGUACUGUAAGAAUAAGGAUCGGCUAACUCCGUGCCAGCAGCCGCGGUAAUACGGAGGAUCCAAGCGUUAUCCGGAAUCAUUGGGUUUAAAGGGUCCGUAGGUGGAUAAUUAAGUCAGAGGUGAAAGUCUGCAGCUCAACUGUAGAAUUGCCUUUGAUACUGGU